RNAcentral lists this transfer RNA (75 nucleotides) under Candidatus Omnitrophota bacterium. RNAcentral describes it as "tRNA-His". It matches the Rfam family "tRNA". Rfam says of the family: Transfer RNA (tRNA) molecules are approximately 80 nucleotides in length. Their secondary structure includes four short double-helical elements and three loops (D, anti-codon, and T loops). The record is from RNAcentral. Lineage: Bacteria; Pseudomonadati; Candidatus Omnitrophota.
GUGGGUGUAGCUCAGUUUGGAUAGAGCAUCUGGCUGUGGCCCAGAUUGUCGAGGGUUCGAAUCCCUUCACCCACC